AUUGAACGCUGGCGGCAGGCCUAACACAUGCAAGUCGAGCGGAUGAAGGGAGCUUGCUCCUGGAUUCAGCGGCGGACGGGUGAGUAAUGCCUAGGAAUCUGCCUGGUAGUGGGGGAUAACGUCCGGAAACGGGCGCUAAUACCGCAUACGUCCUGAGGGAGAAAGUGGGGGAUCUUCGGACCUCACGCUAUCAGAUGAGCCUAGGUCGGAUUAGCUAGUUGGUGGGGUAAAGGCCUACCAAGGCGACGAUCCGUAACUGGUCUGAGAGGAUGAUCAGUCAAACUGGAACUGAGAAACGGUCCAGACUCCUAAGGGAGGCAGCAGUGGGGAAUAUUGGACAAUGGGCGAAAGCCUGAUCCAGCCCUGCCGCGUGUGUGAAGAAGGUCUUCGGAUUGUAAAGCACUUUAAGUUGGGAGGAAGGGCAGUAAGUUAAUACCUUGCUGUUUUGACGUUACCAACAGAAUAAGCACCGGCUAACUUCGUG
RNAcentral lists this ribosomal RNA (484 nucleotides) under uncultured bacterium. Its description in RNAcentral is "partial 16S ribosomal RNA". It matches the Rfam family "Bacterial small subunit ribosomal RNA", at positions 30 to 507 of the family's 1533-position model. The record is from RNAcentral.